GAAUAGACCGGAAGACAUGAAACAAAGAAACGACAGAACUAAAAUUAAAGUUGAGAUAAAGUAAAAAUAAGUACCUCAGAGGGAAGGCAAUAUAACGGACAGGAAAUGAAAAACAGGUAAACCGAACCGUAAAUAACAAAGAACUAUACAUGACAUAGAUAUAACUACCUAGAUAUAAAAAGGAUACAGGAUUUGCAGCUAAAGGAUUAGCCGCUAAAGGCCAAAGAUUUUCUGUGCUCCCACGUUGGUGUCUGAGCACUGGUCACUGUAUGUGUUUCAUAAUGAAACUGGAAGGAGUGUCAA
Non-coding RNA from Pelobates cultripes (western spadefoot toad), 303 nucleotides. NCBI's taxonomy places the organism in Eukaryota, Metazoa, Chordata, Amphibia, Anura, Pelobatidae. The record is from the annotation of a GenBank genome assembly.